AUUGAACGCUGGCGGCAUGCCUUACACAUGCAAGUCGAACGGCAGCACGGGGCAACCUGGUGGCGAGUGGCGAACGGGUGAGUAAUGCAUCGGAACGUACCUUUCAGUGGGGGAUAACGUAGCGAAAGUUACGCUAAUACCGCAUAUUCUGUGAGCAGGAAAGCAGGGGAUCGCAAGACCUUGCGCUGAUUGAGCGGCCGAUGUCAGAUUAGCUAGUUGGUGAGGUAAAGGCUCACCAAGGCGACGAUCUGUAGCGGGUCUGAGAGGAUGAUCAGACACACGGGAACUGAGACACGGUCCAGACUCCUACGGGAGGGAGCAGUGGGGAAUUUUGGACAAUGGGGGCAACCCUGAUCCAGCCAUGCCGCGUAAGUGAAGAAGGCCUUCGGGUUGUAAAGCUCUUUCGGCCGGGAAGAAAUCGCACGGGCUAAUACCCUAUGUGGAUGACGGUACCGGAAUAAGAAGCACCGGCUAACUACGUGCCAGCAGCCGCCGUAA
This 498-nucleotide ribosomal RNA is filed under the name uncultured bacterium. RNAcentral describes it as "partial 16S ribosomal RNA". It matches the Rfam family "Bacterial small subunit ribosomal RNA", at positions 30 to 523 of the family's 1533-position model. The record is from RNAcentral.